RNAcentral lists this long non-coding RNA (683 nucleotides) under Rattus norvegicus (Norway rat). RNAcentral describes it as "long non-coding RNA NONRATT005949". Lineage: Eukaryota; Metazoa; Chordata; Mammalia; Rodentia; Muridae. The record is from RNAcentral.
CUUUGGUUAUCACCAAGUUUUAGCUGGUUGUCCAGCUGGAACCUUCCAUUUGGGGUAGAAUGGCAGGGCUAAAUUGAAAAGAGGCAGAGUCCUGUCUGACAUGGACAGUUUAAUCAGACCUCCUCUUUCCUUUAUAGCUGAUGUAAUGCUGGUGCAACCCAGAGUAGAAUUUAUUUUGUCUUUUAUUGAUCACAUUGCUGGAGAUGAGGAUCAUACGGAUGGAGUGGUAGCUUGUGCUGCUGGACUGAUAGGGGACUUGUGUACAGCAUUUGGAAAGGAUGUACUGAAAUUAGUAGAAGCUAGGCCAAUGAUCCAUGAACUAUUAACUGAAGGGCGGAGAUCGAAGACUAACAAAGCAAAGACCCUUGCUACGUGGGCAACAAAGGAACUGAGGAAACUGAAGAACCAAGCUUGAUCUGGUACCAUUGGGAUGAUGACCUGAGACCCCCACUGGAAAUCUCCAAUCUUUUGAAAAAACCCGGAAGUGAGGAGUGUGCACGGAUGCUGAAUGUUUGGGAAUGAGAGGAUGAGUGAGUGAGGCUUGAAAACACCACACUGAAAAUCCUGCCACAGCCAACAGCAGCAGCGCUGUUAGUGAGCUAAGUAAGCACUGACUUUGUAGAAAACAUAACAUCAGCCAUCUUGGAACAGAGAAACAAUGGAUUUACUUACUUAUUAAAAAC